UGCAAGUCGAACGGUAACAGCAGAGCUUGCUCUGGCUGACGAGUGGCGCACGGGUGCGUAACGCGUAUACAAUCUGCCUAUUACUGGGGUAUAGCCCGAAGAAAUUUGGAUUAACCCCCCAUAGUAUUGAGAUAAGGCAUCUUAUUUCAAUUAAAACCACGGUGGUAAUAGAUGAGUAUGCGUCCUAUUAGUUUGUUGGUAAGGUAACGGCUUACCAAGACUUCGAUAGGUAGGGGUCCUGAGAGGGAGAUCCCCCACACUGGUACUGAGACACGGACCAGACUCCUACGGGAGGCAGCAGUGAGGAAUAUUGGACAAUGGAGGCAACUCUGAUCCAGCCAUGCCGCGUGCAGGAAGACUGCCCUAUGGGUUGUAAACUGCUUUUAUAGAGGAAGAAACCUCCCUUCGUGAAGGGAAUUGACGGUACUCUACGAAUAAGGAUCGGCUAACUCCGUGCCAGCAGCCGCGGUAAUACGGAGGAUCCAAGCGUUAUCCGGAAUCAUUGGGUUUAAAGGGUCCGUAGGCGGACUAAUAAGUCAGUGGUGAAAGUCUGCAGCUCAACUGUAGAAUUGCCAUUGAUACUGUUAGUCUUGAGUCAUUAUGAAGUGGUUAGAAUGAGUGGUGUAGCGGUGAAAUGCAUAGAUAUCACUCAGAAUACCGAUUGCGAAGGCAGAUCACUAAUAAUGUACUGACGCUGAUGGACGAAAGCGUAGGUAGCGAACAGGAUUAGAUACCCUGGUAGUCUACGCCGUAAACGAUGGUUACUAGCUGUUUGGUCGAUUGAGACUGAGUGGCUAAGCGAAAGUGAUAAGUAACCCACCUGGGGAGUACGUUCGCAAGAAUGAAACUCAAAGGAAUUGACGGGGGCCCGCACAAGCGGUGGAGCAUGUGGUUUAAUUCGAUGAUACGCGAGGAACCUUACC
Molecule: ribosomal RNA, 923 nt
Filed under: Mesonia sp.
Lineage: Bacteria; Pseudomonadati; Bacteroidota; Flavobacteriia; Flavobacteriales; Flavobacteriaceae
Description: bacterial SSU rRNA
Rfam family: Bacterial small subunit ribosomal RNA
Source: RNAcentral